GUGGGGAAUUUUGGACAAUGGGCGCAAGCCUGAUCCAGCAAUGCCGCGUGCAGGAAGAAGGCCUUCGGGUUGUAAACUGCUUUUGUACGGAACGAAACGGUCCUGGUUAAUACCUGGGGCUAAUGACGGUACCGUAAGAAUAAGCACCGGCUAACUACGUGCCAGCAGCCGCGGUAAUACGUAGGGUGCGAGCGUUAAUCGGAAUUACUGGGCGUAAAGCGUGCGCAGGCGGUGCUGUAAGACAGGCGUGAAAUCCCCGGGCUCAACCUGGGAAUUGCGCUUGUGACUGCAGUGUUGGAGUACGGCAGAGGGGGAUGGAAUUCCGCGUGUAGCAGUGAAAUGCGUAGAUAUGCGGAGGAACACCGAUGGCGAAGGCAGUCCCCUGGGCCUGUACUGACGCUCAUGCACGAAAGCGUGGGGAGCAAACAGGAUUAGAUACCCCAGUAGUCC
This 450-nucleotide ribosomal RNA is filed under the name uncultured bacterium. RNAcentral describes it as "partial 16S ribosomal RNA". It matches the Rfam family "Bacterial small subunit ribosomal RNA", at positions 354 to 796 of the family's 1533-position model. The record is from RNAcentral.